Molecule: small nuclear RNA, 105 nt
Organism: Erinaceus europaeus (western European hedgehog)
Lineage: Eukaryota; Metazoa; Chordata; Mammalia; Eulipotyphla; Erinaceidae
Source: Ensembl
AUGCUCACUUCAGCAGCAUAUAUACUAAAAUUGGAACGAUACAGAAGAUUAGCAUGGCCCCUGCACAAGGAUGACACACAAAUUCAUGAAGUGGUCCAUAUUAAA